AAGUCGUAACAAGGUAACCGUAGGUGAACCUGCGGUUGGAUCAUUAACAAGAAACUUGCCGCUUUGCUCGAUCGCCCUUUCGGGGCAUCGGCACGGCAAUUAUCCACCCAACCUGUGAACGAAUUGUUGUAUCUUGGCGGGAUAUCUCUGAGAGGUGCGAUUUUCGCAUCAAUCGGGCCCAAGCUUUGGAAUUUAUUCCUCGGUUGGGCUGCGCGUUGGUUCUCAAAACCGACGCGCUGGGUUCCCGCCAGCCAUAUGAACACACCAGUUUUUUCAAUUACAUGCCUUAAAUAAAAAAGCCAUAAUGAGAAACAACUUUAGACAACGGAUCUCUUGGCUCUC
This 342-nucleotide unclassified non-coding RNA is filed under the name fungal sp. RNAcentral's name for it is "partial internal transcribed spacer region". The stretch from base 1 to 46 matches the Rfam family "Eukaryotic small subunit ribosomal RNA", at positions 1786 to 1831 of the family's 1831-position model. The record is from RNAcentral. Lineage: Eukaryota; Fungi.